GAAAGAAAAAUAGGAAAAGAAGAAGAAGAAGAAAUACAGCAGGGCAGGAGAAGGUUUUGGCAAUAUCCUAUAUCCCUCUAUAUUUGCUUCUUCUCCCUCUUCUUGUUUUCUUUUCUUUCUUUUUCUUUUUUCUCAUAU
This 138-nucleotide non-coding RNA is filed under the name Palpitomonas bilix. The record is from RNAcentral.